AUAAAUGCAGUCGCUUACUGUAUUUACUGUAGAAUGAAACUAGAUGGUCAGAAAUAUGCAGAUACCUGACCAUAACACUCAUAUGAGGGUAUUUACAAGACUGUUGCUACUAAUUUUAAAGCAUGUAGUUGUCCAUAAUGUCUUUGAAUAAUGUUGCAGAAAUACUUCCUUCAUUGGAAUUAAAAGGCUUAAACCUGUUCCAGUAUGACAAUGCCAUUGUGCACAAAGCACACUCUGUGAAAACAUGCUUCGCAAUGACCGAGUGUCGUGCACAGAGCAACUCUACUAAACACUUUUGGGAUGAAUUGGAAAUCUGACUGAACACCAGGCCUCCUCGUUCACCAUCAGUGCAUUACUUUACCAAUGCUCUUGUUAGUGCCUUCUAACAGGCAUGGAUGUUAUAAUAACAGUGAAAGGGGAAAUAAUUAAUUCAAUAAUCAAUAUUAAUUCCCAUGAUUUUGAAAUAGGAUGUGAUAUACUCAUGUGUUCGCAUGAGUACUUUUGGCUAUGUAUUGGUCUGUUUUUGUUUUCAUCACACUGAAUAAACCUGAUGAUAAUAUAUAAUAUAUAAAAUACAAAGAAAUUAAACAUAAAAAAAAGUGAGAGGGAUGUGGUAGCUUAGUGGUUAAGGUCUUGGAUUACUGAUCAGAAGGUUGUGAGUUUGAAUCCUGGGUCUCCCAAGUAUCCCCUGCUGGGCUUUUUAGCAAGACCCCUGACCCUCAAUUGCUCAGUUGUAUAAAAUGAGAAAAAAAUGUACGCCGCUGUGGAAAAGGGUGUUGUGUUGUCCUGUAAGGACUUUAAUAUUUAUAUGUGUGCUUUAAAUAUUUUUGAUAAAUAUUCCUCUAUAAAAAUUUAAAGUUUAUAAUUACUUUAUCUACUUAAUUUGUAAAAAUAUAUGGUUCGUUUUAUGCGAUGCCACUUCCGGUUAGCGCUCAGUGCUCAAUCUUGCAAUGAACCCGGCAUGGUGUGCUCUUUAUAGUAUCCAGCGCAUCCACUAAAAACAUCAUAGAGGCAAUGCCAAGAGUGCUGUCCUGGAUCCAGUUGUGUGGCUGACACCACCGACGUAAAAGGUUUUAUGAUGAAGUUCAACCCUCUCCUCUUUGGUGUUUGUCUAACACAAUUCAUCUGUUAAGGCUUGCCUUUAAAAAAACUUGCUUCCUGUGUUAACAGAGUCCUUGCAGCCAACCACAGUGUGCAACCUUUCACGAAAGGCAGGUUUUGUGAAGGUAGCACUGAUGACUGAAUCUUUGUACAUAGACAACAUAGUAAAUUCUUACUAACAUGACUUUUUCGAUAACUGGGAUGAAACUAAACUAAGAGAAUAAAAAAACAAACACUGAAGAGAAGUGGCAAGAAAAUCCUCAAUAAACAAACAAACAUACAAA
Molecule: long non-coding RNA, 1385 nt
Organism: Tachysurus fulvidraco (yellow catfish)
Lineage: Eukaryota; Metazoa; Chordata; Actinopteri; Siluriformes; Bagridae
Exons: 2
Source: RefSeq, a predicted model, not a curated record